Molecule: ribosomal RNA, 78 nt
Filed under: uncultured bacterium
Lineage: Bacteria
Description: partial 16S ribosomal RNA
Rfam family: Bacterial small subunit ribosomal RNA
Source: RNAcentral
CGAUGGAUAGGGGUUCUGAGAGGAAGGUCCCCCACAUUGGAACUGAGACACGGUCCAAACUCCUACGGAAGGCAGCAG